UUACCCUCCCUUGGACUCUUCAUGGAGAUAUUUUUAGAGCCUAUUUCAUAGGUAUUCGAAACUUGGUCAAACAUUCCUCAUUUCAACAUUGAUAAAUUUUUUUUUAAAAAAAAAAUCAUUAUAAAAACUUUUGUAGGAUGUAUUAUUGAAGGGAAGGAUUACAAGCAAACUCACUCUAUAUUCACCAAAAGAAAUCACGUUGAUUAUUGUGGUUGAAUAAAAUAAAUUGGAAAAAGAUAGAAAUCAUUCUGAAAUUUUUCAGUGCCGGAGACGUCUCUAGCAAAUCGCAGAGACGUCCCUCCGGCGAGACGUCUCGCGUUAGUCGUGGAGACGUCUCGGGGACCGAACGAAGGUUUUUAAAUUAGGUGAAACAGCUCGAGCCGACCCGAGCUAUCUUCUUUCGUCCCCGACAAAAACAAAAAACCCUAGCCUCCAUUUGCUCUCCACCACAAACCCUAGCCUCCAUUCCAAACCAUGGCACCUAAGAGAGCUAGACGAACAGGUGGGAGGCAUCCUAGGGUAGCGA
This 526-nucleotide long non-coding RNA is filed under the name Phoenix dactylifera (date palm). RNAcentral describes it as "long non-coding RNA (PDAC_LNC016335)". Lineage: Eukaryota; Viridiplantae; Streptophyta; Magnoliopsida; Arecales; Arecaceae. The record is from RNAcentral.